CGAGAUUCGUGCACGUGCCAGGAAGCCUACGUUCCAGCGAUUUCUACAGCAGGAGAAGCCGCCUCCCUUGCCUUCCUCCUCCAUGCUCUGCCCCUGACAUCUUCCCUUCGUCCGGCGUUCCCAGCCACCGGGCUGCCUUGCAGGCGAAUUUGUUGAAUGACUGGGGCGACAUUCAGCCAAAGCUCAACUGAGAGGAACAGUCAGGAGCAAGAACUGCUUACUAUACGGACGCCACCGCCUCUCCAGCCUACGCCGGGCAGCCAGAUGGGAACCAGCUGCGCAGACGGAAGGACCCGCCAUGGGGAUGCUGGCUGAGGAUCUGACGUGUGCAUUGGCCGGGACGCAAGGCAUGUAGCUUGCUCUAGUUUGCGUGUUCUUGGAAACCACCUUCAGUCUUCUCGAUGAGUUAUCCAGUGUCUUGUGGGAGUCGUCUGUAUGUGGCUGACUGUGUCUCCUUAAGGAAGCUGCAGGACCC
Molecule: long non-coding RNA, 475 nt
Organism: Sciurus carolinensis (gray squirrel)
Lineage: Eukaryota; Metazoa; Chordata; Mammalia; Rodentia; Sciuridae
Exons: 3
Source: RefSeq, a predicted model, not a curated record